This 496-nucleotide ribosomal RNA is filed under the name uncultured bacterium. Its description in RNAcentral is "partial 16S ribosomal RNA". It matches the Rfam family "Bacterial small subunit ribosomal RNA", at positions 28 to 506 of the family's 1533-position model. The record is from RNAcentral.
GAUGAACGCUGGCGGCGUGCCUAAUACAUGCAAGUCGAGCGAACGGACGAGAAGCUUGCUUCUCUGAUGUUAGCGGCGGACGGGUGAGUAACACGUGGAUAACCUACCUAUAAGACUGGGAUAACUUCGGGAAACCGGAGCUAAUACCGGAUAAUAUUUUGAACCGCAUGGUUCAAAAGUGAAAGACGGUCUUGCUGUCACUUAUAGAUGGAUCCGCGCUGCAUUAGCUAGUUGGUAAGGUAACGGCUUACCAAGGCAACGAUGCAUAGCCGACCUGAGAGGGUGAUCGGCCACUCUGGAACUGAGACACGGCCCAGACUCCUACGGGAGGCAGCAGUAGGGAAUCUACCGCAAUGGGCGAAAGCCUGACGGAGCAACGCCGCGUGAGUGAUGAAGGGCUGCGGAUCGUAAAACUCUGUUAUUAGGGAAGAACAUAUGUGUAAGUAACUGUGCACAUCUUGACGGUACCUAAUCAGAAAGCCACGGCUAACUACGU